GUCUAUGGCCAUACCACCCUGAACACGCCUGAUCUCGUCCGAUCUGGGAAGCUAAGCAGGGUCGGGCCUGGUUAGUACUUGGAUGGGAGAAAAGACAGUUGCCUGUUCAAGUACACAGGCAGCAAAGGGCA
Molecule: ribosomal RNA, 131 nt
Filed under: Chinchilla lanigera (long-tailed chinchilla)
Lineage: Eukaryota; Metazoa; Chordata; Mammalia; Rodentia; Chinchillidae
Source: RNAcentral